UUCCAUUUUCAAUCUCUGCAAUUUUCUCAUGUCUUCUUUCAUGUGCUUAGUGUAUUUUCAUUUUUAAAUAUGUUAUGGUUUUGGUCUCUAACCACGUCUCCCUGGUGUGCUUCCAUUGUCUAUAGGGAUGCUAUCGUGCUUCCUCUUGGUCCCUUUUCUGUUCAUAACUUUGGAUGGAAUUUGGCCUUAAUACUUUUCUAUUGUUUAUUUGAUUGUGAAAUGAUCCUUCCUGGCUUUUUGGAUUAAGGCUAUGUUCAGAAAAGAUUUUUCAACCUUCACAGAGCCCUGUCUUCUGUUGCUUUUGUAUGGAGUUUAAAAAUAAAACAGCUUGCUUUCUGGGACUGUCUCUGUCCUUACCCUUUCUUGAGUCUGGGCCAUCUUUCUUUCCUUGUCUUCAAAUUCUUGUAGGGUCUUACAUGUUCCUACACUGCCUACAAAGACUCUCAAGAGGAAUAGUCAGUCUCCCCUUUGUCUCUGUCCUGCUCAAUUCUGCUUUUAGUCCCAGGUGUUUUCGCAAGUGUGGAGUCCUGUCCUAGAAGAAAGCAGGCAGCCUCAUGAGCUUAUAAGGGCUGCCUUGCUCCAGCCCUUACAGGUGCUCUUCCAGCAGGCCCUCGCAUGAACCCACUUUUGGGAGAGGACAAAACUUCUCUCAGCUUCAGCCAGCACUUUUAGAUGGGCUUCCCCUCUUCAGUGAUCACCUGUUGCCUAUCGUGGGUUCUCCUGUUCUCACGUCCAUCAUACACUACCUCGUUCCUUCCUAUUCCUCCUGCACAAAUGCUGUUCUCAUGGCAGUUUUUUGUUUGCCCCACCUGCUUAUAUUUUGGGGCUCAUGGGGUUACCUUGUGACCUACUUCCAAGUAUUGUCUGAAUUUUUAGUUUUGCUACUGAGGGUUUUUUUUUUUUUAUUAUUAAUGGACAGAUUUGAAGAGAUUGAAAAAAUAGGCCUCCACCAACAACUUGCUUUUUCUGUUGAAUUUCAGUUGUUUAAUGAUUUUGUCUCCAAAUUCUAGCACUGUCUUAUGUGUUCCUGUAUUGACUACAGAGACCCCCAGGAGUAAUACAAUCCAGUCAACCACGAAUAUCCUACAGUCGGCUUACAAAGGCUGGUAACUUACAGGGUAUCUGGAUCUAGAAUUGUCUUAGUUUGGGAACUCUCUGUAAAGUUACUUCCUCUGGGAAACUGUGGUUAUCACCCCUAAGUAGAGCUUCUCCCUUACUUGUACUUCCUUCAUUAUACCGCUUGGGUUUAGUGUGUGCCACCCCAGAGAACUGAGAGCUCCAGGAAGCAGGGACCAUACACAUUUCAUCUCUGCAACCCCAGACCCUAGCACAAUGUCUGUCUGGUAUGGGGACUUCAUAAAUACUUCCUGAGAGAAGAAAUUUGAGCUAAAUGAUGCUUACAGCUGUAUUACAUAACUUAUAACAUUUAAAAAAUUAUUCUUAAAAAUAAUUCAGACUCAUCAUAGAAAACUUAGAAAAUUUUUUAAAAAGCAUAUAGAAAAAAUUUACCUACAAUAUCAUCCCCAAGAGAGAACCACUAUUAAUUACCCUUUGGUGUAUUCCAUUUUGUUCUUCUGCAUAUUUAAACUAUUUAGUUGGAAAAAUGUUGUAGGCCAUUUUAACCCCGUUUUUCAUGUAUAUUUUUGCACUUCUCCCAUGUAUUAUUCUUCCUAGCACUAUUUAAUAGCUGCGUAUUAUUCCAGUGUGAUAAAAGCAAUUUGAGUACAAAAUUAAAGGCACUUCAAUAAAGAUGAGCUUACACAGACUUCCUGCUGAUAUCUUGACAUAACCUGCCCUAUAAUAACUGGAAAUGAGUAUAAGGCAACUCCCGUUUUAGGAUCCAUUCAGAGAAGCUUAAGGGCAAAAAAAUUAAUAGAAUUAAUGUAGUGGACUCAUUGCCAGGUGCUAUUCCCAUAAAUUCCAGUAGGUGGCAGAACAGGUUAGCUAAUAUGGUUCUCAACCUCCAUGGGCAUUGUCACCUGCCAGGCUCCUGCCAGAGAUUCUGAGUAAACAGCCUUGGCGUGGCCCAGUCAUUUGCAUUUCUGAUAAGUCCCAGGUAAUUCUGAUACGCUGGAAGGAAACACACUGUGAGAACUCUGAAUUACACGAAGUCGAUGUAGAUCAAUCCAAAGCGCAUUCACCCACACAUCCAUGCAUGUCCAUGUUGUUUACUUUCCACCGGUUCUGUGAACACAGGAGAGAGUAAAAGAUUUCCUGUUCUCCAGACAUAGCCUUGUGAAAGGGGUGGGGGGCAGGAGAGAGGAGGAAUGAAGCAAAUAAUGCUCUGUUUAUUACUUGUACCUCUCCGUGUUUUUCUUCCUGACAUGCAGCCUUCAUGAAUGUUUGUUUUUCUGAUCCUGUCUCCAAAGAGAGUUCGAGCUUUGCGCCCUUAAAGCCUGAAUGGACAACUAGGUCAAGAGUCACCUCACAUGGCUGAAUGUGCUCAACACCAAACUCAGUAUGUCUGCUCUCCUAAAAUUCCCAGAGAUGAAAACUCUCCUCUCUGAACCCACCAAGGCCUGAGAUAUAAAAGCACACCAGACAACCUCUUCCCUGACUCUGCAUGAGCAAAAACAAAACAUUGUGACAAAAGUGUUAAGAAAGAAUUCUCUGCUUUUACUCUAAGUCUUCUACUGGGAACUUAUUCUAAGAAAAUAUGCACAAAGAAGUCCUCUGUACCACUGUCUAAAAGCAAAACUGGAAGUUAAUGUAGCCCCUAAGAUGAUCCAUGGAACUUACUAAAAUAACUUCCCAAGAACCUACGGAGCAUCAUGUAAUGAUUCAACCUUAAACAGUGUUGCUGGGGAGGUAAGGUGUUCACCUGAAUUUUGAAAAGUUUAUGGAUCAAAGGUGAGUUGAUGGUUUGCCAUCUGGAAAAGGUACAACAUGAAGAACUGCCAACAGACUGCACGUCUAACUACCUCAGGCAAAAAUGUUGAGUCGGGCUGAGUGGACCAUGUUUGUCAACGGAGGCUUGAAAGCUAGCGGGAGGUCAAUGGGAUCCUAAAGUCUGGCUCUAGGAGUGGUAACAAGGAACUUGGGGGCUUUUCCAUGAGGAUGGGAGAAGAUCCAAGAGCAAAGUCAGGAAAACAAAGAGCAAGAACGAUUUAAAGAGAUGAGUUGGAACUCGGUUAUGGAUAGGUUAAUAAAUCUAGACAUACCCUGUUGGCAACAGGAAGUUACUGCAGUUGUUUCCACAGAGGGGCCACGCGCUCAAAAGAGUGGCUGGUAAGAUGCCCUAGAGGCAGGUGCCAACAGCUUGAAAGGCACACACAAGUGGCCGAGGGGGAGGGGAGCUGUCCAGGUCUGGAUGGAAGAGACUUAAAGUAGGCAGAAAAUGGGAAGGGAAACAAGGAUUGGGGGGCGGUAAUCUAGGAUCUGGGUCUGUGGAGGCUAAAACUCUGGGCCCCAACCUCCUCAGCACUCACUAUUCUUCUAAGCAAUUGGCCGUUUUCCAAGCCUCAAUCUGCUCCUCUGUAUAACAGAAGUGACAAUCUGCCUAUGACGGUACUAUUGGGGAUCAAAGGUACAGGACCAUGCUUGGUGAACAACAAGGAGUCCCACAAAUUUAAAUUAAGAAUCAACCAACUAGGGGAUUGAGUAGAGGAGGCAGGAAGACAAUCCCCAAAUCCGGAACCUGCAUUAAUGGCACUCUUCCCCUCGCCCCUGCCCAAUUUGCAUCUACUCAUGGGGUCGCCAGAAUCCCUUCCUUGCAUCUGACUUUUCAGUGUACGGUUUUCCUCUUGGAUCUCAUUCAGAAAUUGUUACGAAGUUGGGUUUACAU
Long non-coding RNA from Mustela erminea (ermine), 3784 nucleotides. RefSeq lists it as uncharacterized. The transcript has 3 exons. The record is from RefSeq and is a predicted model, not a curated record. NCBI's taxonomy places the organism in Eukaryota, Metazoa, Chordata, Mammalia, Carnivora, Mustelidae.